CUAAGUUUGAUGGCGACCGGCGCACGGGUGAGUAACNCGUAUCCAACCUGCCGAUGACUCGGGGAUAGCCUUUCGAAAGAAAGAUUAAUACCCGAUGGCAUAGUUCUUCCGCAUGGUGGAACUAUUAAAGAAUUUCGGUCAUCGAUGGGGAUGCGUUCCAUUAGGUUGUUGGCGGGGUAACGGCCCACCAAGCCUUCGAUGGAUAGGGGUUCUGAGAGGAAGGUCCCCCACAUUGGGACUGAGACACGGUCCAAACUCCUACGGGAGGCAGCAUG
RNAcentral lists this ribosomal RNA (275 nucleotides) under uncultured bacterium. RNAcentral describes it as "partial 16S ribosomal RNA". It matches the Rfam family "Bacterial small subunit ribosomal RNA", at positions 79 to 353 of the family's 1533-position model. The record is from RNAcentral.